UACAGAGGUCCCGAGCGUUGUUCGGAUUCACUGGGCGUAAAGCGCACGUAGGCGGAUGUGUCAGUCAGGGGUGAAAUCCCGGAGCUCAACUUCGGAACUGCCCUUGAUACAGCACGUCUUGAGUCCGGAAGAGGUGGGUGGAAUUCCUAGUGUAGAGGUGAAAUUCGUAGAUAUUAGGAAGAACACCGGUGGCGAAGGCGGCCCACUGGUCCGGUACUGACGCUCAUGCACGAAAGCGUGGGGAGCAAACAGG
Molecule: ribosomal RNA, 253 nt
Filed under: uncultured bacterium
Lineage: Bacteria
Description: partial 16S ribosomal RNA
Rfam family: Bacterial small subunit ribosomal RNA
Source: RNAcentral